Molecule: long non-coding RNA, 522 nt
Organism: Empidonax traillii (willow flycatcher)
Lineage: Eukaryota; Metazoa; Chordata; Aves; Passeriformes; Tyrannidae
Exons: 4
Source: RefSeq, a predicted model, not a curated record
CAGAAGAUGUUUUGUUUUAGUCAGAUUGCUUUAAACUGACUCUUAACUCUGCAGUUUGAUUCACUGCAUGUUUCCUCCUAACUGGAAAUGCAUGCACAACAAGCCAGUCUCUCUCUGUACUACACUCCAUAUGAAGUCUGGCACCUGGAACCAUCUCUUUAUUUGGUUAAGUGCAUGGAUACAAGGUCCAGCAUGACAACAGUGACAAGUGAUUUAGAGCCUCUACCCGAACCUCUGAAAGAGCAAGCAUGACACAAAGCUUGGGAAAGUUGCUCACCCAAGGGUGCAGUACUUGAGUACAAACAUGCAUUCUGUCUGCCUGGGAGGCCUUGUCAAACUCUGCUGACACAUCCAAUAUAGAAAAACACUUGCUGAUAUUAGUCUCCAAAAUUCCACCCUUAACAGAAAAUAGCUCUGUAAGAUGGGAACAGCAAGAUCCAUCAAGAGAUGACCCAUCCCAACUCUCUGCCUACAGAUGCCCUUCAGCUAGGAUACUCUUCUUGAAAUGCAACACAACUAAAU